GUCUUUUUCUGUUCUGUAGAUAGGCUCAUCUGUGCCAAUGCUUUUUUUUUUUUUUUUUUUUGUCUUUUUAGGGCCACACCCAUAGCAUAUGAAGGUUCCCAGGCUAGGGGUCAAAUCAGAGCUGUAGCCACCCGCCUACACCACAGCCACAGCAGCCAGAUCCAAGCCAUGUCUGCAACCUACACCACAGCUCCUGGCAAUGCUGGAUCCUUAACCCACGGAGCAAGGCCAGGGAUCGAACCUGCAUCUUCAUGGAUCCUAGUCGGAUUUGUUUCUGCUGAGCCACGAGGCCAGCACCCAUCUCUGCCACAUUCUAGAUUCCACAUAUAAUAGCUCCUUGCCAUCUGCUUCUCCAACUUCAGCUUCAGGAACCUACUUUGGUUUUCGGGUGACCAAGAAAAUUUCUCCCUUUCUCAAAAGAAGAGUCAACCACACAGCGUACGUGCCUCACCAAGGAAUUCAUCUGAAUUUCUAGAUCUCUUGCUUACUUAGAGACAGAACUCAAUUAAUUAUGUGCCAAUUAGUUAUUAGUUGCCUAAGAAAUUGCAAAAGACUAUGCCCCAGGCUUUGAUGGAGCACAGUUUCUUAGUGCAGUUUCUCAAAAUAUAAAUCAAGGGCAAAGGUUUAUAAUCAAAUUUCAUAAGUUUAGAAAUCAGUUUUGCUUUGAAAUCAACAUAAUUUGAUCUCAGGCAUUUCUUGGGACUAGAGGAAACAUUUUUACUUCAUGUUGUUUGCCUAAAAAGAAGAGUCAAAAAAACAAAAACUCUCUGGAAGAUCUACAUUCCCCAGAUUCAUCUUAACUAGUGAAGAUGAACGAAAACAUCUGUCCAGUCCCCUCUUUAAAGAUCUUCGUAGGAGGAAUUCUGGGCAUGUGAAAGGAGUCAAGGUCACAGUGUAGGCCUCCGUCUACCAUCCUGCCAGGUCUGCAAGGAACUCAGGGCGUUGCAAGGAACUCAGUUCUGGCGUCCUGCUAAGGAUAAGUAGAAGGCAUUGACUCUUCACUAUGUGGUUGCUUUCAACAAAAUUUAUGAGAAAGCAAAAGGAAGUUUCUAAACUACUGCCAGAUGGCAAGAACUUGGAGCACUGAAAUGAGACUAAAACCCAAUCAGAAAGAAGCAUAACCUAUUUAGGACAAGACAUCGGGGCCUCUUGUGAAACUGAAGCAUUUCCAAAUCUUCUGUAAAGACAUAAAGUCUGACCAGACAAAAUUAUUUCCUAGGUGUAACAUUCAGAAAUCAAAGUCAUACCUGAGUGACAACAGUCUCCCAUUUGCUGUCUGUUCUUUGUUCUUAAGUGAGUUUCUUCUCUGUUGAAGCUGCUUUUGAAGAAU
Molecule: long non-coding RNA, 1330 nt
Filed under: Sus scrofa (pig)
Lineage: Eukaryota; Metazoa; Chordata; Mammalia; Artiodactyla; Suidae
Description: lncRNA (ENSSSCG00055007546.1)
Source: RNAcentral